UUUAUGGAGAGUUUGAUCCUGGCUCAGAGUGAACGCUGGCGGCGUGCCUAAUACAUGCAAGUCGAACGAUGAAGCUUCUAGCUUGCUAGAAGUGGAUUAGUGGCG
Molecule: ribosomal RNA, 105 nt
Filed under: Campylobacter coli
Lineage: Bacteria; Pseudomonadati; Campylobacterota; Epsilonproteobacteria; Campylobacterales; Campylobacteraceae
Also listed under: 1 other name
Description: partial 16S ribosomal RNA
Rfam family: Bacterial small subunit ribosomal RNA
Source: RNAcentral